This 253-nucleotide ribosomal RNA is filed under the name uncultured bacterium. RNAcentral's name for it is "partial 16S ribosomal RNA". It matches the Rfam family "Bacterial small subunit ribosomal RNA", at positions 524 to 776 of the family's 1533-position model. The record is from RNAcentral.
UACGUAGGUGGCAAGCGUUGUCCGGAUUUACUGGGUGUAAAGGGCGUGUAGCCGGGUUGACAAGUCAGAUGUGAAAUCCUGCGGCUUAACCGCAGAACUGCAUUUGAAACUGUUGAUCUUGAGUACUGGAGAGGCAGACGGAAUUCCUAGUGUAGCGGUGAAAUGCGUAGAUAUUAGGAGAAACACCAGUGGCGAAGGCGGUCUGCUGGACAGCAACUGACGGUGAGGCGCGAAAGCGUGGGGAGCAAACAGG